ACCUUAGCAAUGUGCGAAAGCACGACUGGGUUAGUCCGAGUGAUUCCUGCUAAAGGAAUCUUUUACCGGUCCUAAAAGCACCGGUGAAUAAGGGGUGGGCAAGUCUGGUGUCAGCCGCCGCGGUAAUACCAGCACCUCGAGUGAUCAGGACGUUUAUUGGGCCUAAAGCAUCCGUAGCUGGCUUUGCAAGUCUCCGGUUAAAUCAACCUGCUCAACAGAUUGGCCGCUGGAGAUACUACAAGGCUAGGGAGUGGGAGAGGCAGACGGUAUUCGGGGGGUAGGGGUAAAAUCCUCUGAUCCUCUGAGGACCACCAGUGGCGAAGGCGGUCUGCCAGAACACGUUCGACAGUGAGGGAUGAAAGCUGGGGGAGCAAACCGGAUUAGAUACCCGGGUAGUCCCAGCUGUAAACGAUGCAAACUCGGUGAAGCAUUGGCUUAAUGCUAAUGCUGUGCCGCAGGGAAGCCGUUAAGUUUGCCGCCUGGGAAGUACGGUCGCAAGAUUGAAACUUAA
RNAcentral lists this ribosomal RNA (511 nucleotides) under uncultured Nitrososphaerota archaeon. RNAcentral describes it as "bacterial SSU rRNA". It matches the Rfam family "Archaeal small subunit ribosomal RNA", at positions 346 to 859 of the family's 1478-position model. Lineage: Archaea; Thermoproteati; Nitrososphaerota. The record is from RNAcentral.